GCGGCAGGCACUAACACAUGCAAGUCGAACGGUAGCACAGAGAGCUUGCUCUCGGGUGACGAGUGGCGGACGGGUGAGUAAUGUCUGGGAAACUGCCUGAUGGAGGGGGAUAACUACUGGAAACGGUAGCUAAUACCGCAUAACGUCGCAAGACCAAAGAGGGGGACCUUCGGGCCUCUUGCCAUCAGAUGUGCCCAGAUGGGAUUAGCUAGUAGGUGGGGUAACGGCUCACCUAGGCGACGAUCCCUAGCUGGUCUGAGAGGAUGACCAGCCACACUGGAACUGAGACACGGUCCAGACUCCUACGGGAGGCAGCAGUGGGGAAUAUUGCACAAUGGGCGCAAGCCUGAUGCAGCCAUGCCGCGUGUAUGAAGAAGGCCUUCGGGUUGUAAAGUACUUUCAGCGGGGAGGAAGGUGUUGUGGUUAAUAACCACAGCAAUUGACGUUACCCGCAGAAGAAGCACCGGCUAACUCCGUGCCAGCAGCCGCGGUAAUACGGAGGGUGCAAGCGUUAAUCGGAAUUACUGGGCGUAAAGCGCACGCAGGCGGUCUGUCAAGUCGGAUGUGAAAUCCCCGGGCUCAACCUGGGAACUGCAUUCGAAACUGGCAGGCUAGAGUCUUGUAGAGGGGGGUAGAAUUCCAGGUGUAGCGGUGAAAUGCGUAGAGAUCUGGAGGAAUACCGGUGGCGAAGGCGGCCCCCUGGACAAAGACUGACGCUCAGGUGCGAAAGCGUGGGGAGCAAACAGGAUUAGAUACCAUGGAUCAGUCCACGCCGUAAACGAUGUCGACUUGGAGGUUGUGCCCUUGAGGUCGUGGUCUUCCGGAGCUCACGCGUUAAGUCGACCGCCUGGGGAGUA
RNAcentral lists this ribosomal RNA (857 nucleotides) under uncultured bacterium. RNAcentral describes it as "bacterial SSU rRNA". It matches the Rfam family "Bacterial small subunit ribosomal RNA", at positions 39 to 882 of the family's 1533-position model. The record is from RNAcentral.